This 468-nucleotide ribosomal RNA is filed under the name uncultured bacterium. Its description in RNAcentral is "partial 16S ribosomal RNA". It matches the Rfam family "Bacterial small subunit ribosomal RNA", at positions 28 to 507 of the family's 1533-position model. The record is from RNAcentral.
GACGAACGCUGGCGGCGUGCUUAACACAUGCAAGUCGAACGGAAAGGCCCUGCUUUUGUGGGGUGCUCGAGUGGCGAACGGGUGAGUAACACGUGAGUAACCUGCCCUUGACUUUGGGAUAACUUCAGGAAACUGGGGCUAAUACCGGAUAGGAGCUCCUGCUGCAGGGUGGGGGUUGGAAAGUUUCGGCGGGUGGGGAUGGACGGGCGGCUUAUCAGCUUGUUGGUGGGGGAGUGGCUUACCAAGGCUGUGACGGGUAGCCGGCCUGAGAGGGUGACCGGCGACAUUGGGACUGCGAGACGGCGCAGAGUCCUACAGGAGGCAGCAGUGGGGAAUCUUGCCCAAUGGGCGGGAGCGUGAUGCAGCAACGCCGCGUGCGGGAUGACGGCCUUCGGGUUGUAAACAGCUUUAGCCUGUGACGAAGCGUGAGUGACGGUAAUGGGUAAAUAAGCACCGGCUAACUACGUG